GUAGGUGUGGUUCAGUUGGUAAUGUGCUUGCCUGGCAUGAAGGAAGCCCUUGGUUUAACCCCUAGCACUUCA
RNAcentral lists this transfer RNA (72 nucleotides) under Mus musculus (house mouse). RNAcentral describes it as "tRNA-Ala". The record is from RNAcentral. Lineage: Eukaryota; Metazoa; Chordata; Mammalia; Rodentia; Muridae.